This 539-nucleotide ribosomal RNA is filed under the name Fusarium solani. RNAcentral's name for it is "eukaryotic LSU rRNA". The stretch from base 152 to 305 matches the Rfam family "5.8S ribosomal RNA". Lineage: Eukaryota; Fungi; Ascomycota; Sordariomycetes; Hypocreales; Nectriaceae. The record is from RNAcentral.
GUUGCUUCGGCUAACACUCAUCACCCUGUGACAUACCUAAAACGUUGCUUCGGCGGGAACAGACGGCCCUGUAACAACGGGCCGCCCCCGCCAGAGGACCCCUAACUCUGUUUUUAUAAUGUUUUUCUGAGUAAACAAGCAAAUAAAUUAAAACUUUCAACAACGGAUCUCUUGGCUCUGGCAUCGAUGAAGAACGCAGCGAAAUGCGAUAAGUAAUGUGAAUUGCAGAAUUCAGUGAAUCAUCGAAUCUUUGAACGCACAUUGCGCCCGCCAGUAUUCUGGCGGGCAUGCCUGUUCGAGCGUCAUUACAACCCUCAGGCCCCCGGGCCUGGCGUUGGGGAUCGGCGGAAGCCCCCUGUGGGCACACGCCGUCCCUCAAAUACAGUGGCGGUCCCGCCGCAGCUUCCAUUGCGUAGUAGCUAACACCUCGCAACUGGAGAGCGGCGCGGCCAUGCCGUAAAACACCCAACUUCUGAAUGUUGACCUCGAAUCAGGUAGGAAUACCCGCUGAACUUAAGCAUAUCAAUAAGGCGGAGGAA